AGCGGGAAGUAGUUUACUACUUUGCCGGCGAGCGGCGGACGGGUGAGUAAUGUCUGGGAAACUGCCUGAUGGAGGGGGAUAACUACUGGAAACGGUAGCUAAUACCGCAUAACGUCUUCGGACCAAAGUGGGGGACCUUAGGGCCUCACGCCAUCGGAUGUGCCCAGAUGGGAUUAGCUAGUAGGUGGGGUAAUGGCUCACCUAGGCGACGAUCCCUAGCUGGUCUGAGAGGAUGACCAGCCACACUGGAACUGAGACACGGUCCAGACUCCUACGGGAGGCAGCAGUGGGGAAUAUUGCACAAUGGGCGCAAGCCUGAUGCAGCCAUGCCGCGUGUGUGAAGAAGGCCUUCGGGUUGUAAAGCACUUUCAGCGAGGAGGAAGGCCAAUAACUUAAUACGUUGUUGGAUUGACGUUACUCGCAGAAGAAGCACCGGCUAACUCCGUGCCAGCAGCCGCGGUAAUACGGGGGGUGCAAGCGUUAAUCGGAAUUACUGGGCGUAAAGCGCACGCAGGCGGUUUGUUAAGUCAGAUGUGAAAUCCCCGCGCUUAACGUGGGAACUGCAUUUGAAACUGGCAAGCUAGAGUCUUGUAGAGGGGGGUAGAAUUCCAGGUGUAGCGGUGAAAUGCGUAGAGAUCUGGAGGAAUACCGGUGGCGAAGGCGGCCCCCUGGACAAAGACUGACGCUCAGGUGCGAAAGCGUGGGGAGCAAACA
RNAcentral lists this ribosomal RNA (714 nucleotides) under uncultured bacterium. RNAcentral's name for it is "bacterial SSU rRNA". It matches the Rfam family "Bacterial small subunit ribosomal RNA", at positions 65 to 774 of the family's 1533-position model. The record is from RNAcentral.